This 501-nucleotide ribosomal RNA is filed under the name uncultured bacterium. Its description in RNAcentral is "bacterial SSU rRNA". It matches the Rfam family "Bacterial small subunit ribosomal RNA", at positions 33 to 507 of the family's 1533-position model. The record is from RNAcentral.
AACGACGCUGGCGGCGUGCCUAACACAUGCAAGUCGAGCGAGAAGUCCCUCGGGGCGAGUAAAGCGGCGGACGGGUGAGUAAUACAUGGAUAAUCUUCCCUCGAGCCUGGGAUAACCCUGCGAAAGUGGGGCUAAUACCGGAUAAGACCACAUGACACAUGUCACGGGGUAGAAGGUGGCUUGUAUUUAUAUGAGCUAUCACUUGAGGAUGAGUCCAUGGCCUAUCAGCUAGUUGGUGAGGUAAGAGCUUACCAAGGCUACCUGACGGGUAGCUGGUCUGAGAGGACGACUAGCCACACUGGGACUGAGACACGGCCCAGACUCCUACGGGAGGCAGCAGUGGGGAAUAUUGGGCAAUGGGCGAAAGCCUGACCCAGCGACGCCGCGUGGGUGAUGAAGGCCUUCGGGUUGUAAAACCCUUUCGUGCGGAAAGAAUAGUCCUGUAGCGAAUAACUACGGGAUUUGACGGUACCGCAGGAAGAAGCACCGGCUAACUCCGUG